UUCAGUCUUUUUGCUUCCCAUUUUGUACCGUACAGUACGUCCACCGAAGUACUGACGUUUCGCUGUGCCAUCGCAUGGCCGACGUGUGCAUUCCGAGGUUCACUUUCGCGUGGUACCCGCUCCGUCACAAGUAUCGCUUUUAAAACGUUAACACUUGUGGCAAAACAUCAACAUACCAAUCUCAGAAGAAAAAUUACUAGAUCCGGCUUUCACGUCGACGUGGACCACCUUUCCAGGCUUCGUCCCGUUGGUGAUAAACGAUUAAUUUAGUUUGAAACCAUAAGCCGCGACCACGCGACACAACGCGCAGCAAUGUCCAACGAAGAAACUUCCGCCGACCGCAAUGUCGAAAUCUGGAAAAUUAAGAAACUUAUAAAAAGUCUCGAAAUGGCCAGGGGGAACGGGACUAGUAUGAUCUCGUUAAUUAUCCCUCCAAAAGAUCAGAUAUCGAGAGUAAGCAAAAUGUUAGCAGAUGAGUUUGGGACAGCAUCGAAUAUUAAAUCUCGUGUAAAUAGACUAUCUGUUUUGGGUGCUAUCACAUCCGUACAACAUAGGCUAAAAUUAUAUACAAAAGUGCCUCCAAAUGGCCUGGUAAUAUAUUGUGGUACCAUUGUAACAGAAGAAGGAAAAGAAAAGAAAGUUAACAUUGAUUUUGAACCCUUUAAACCUAUUAAUACUUCGCUAUAUCUUUGCGAUAACAAGUUUCACACUGAAGCACUUACAGCGUUGCUUGCUGAUGAUAAUAAAUUUGGAUUUAUCGUCAUGGAUGGUAAUGGGGCAUUGUUUGGUACGCUGCAAGGAAAUACCCGUGAGGUUUUACAUAAAUUUACAGUAGAUCUUCCAAAAAAGCAUGGCAGAGGAGGACAGUCAGCGCUUCGUUUUGCUCGGUUGCGUAUGGAAAAGCGGCAUAAUUACGUUCGAAAAGUUGCAGAAGUAGCUACUCAAUUAUAUAUUACUAAUGAUAAACCUAAUAUUGCUGGUUUAAUUUUAGCAGGCAGUGCCGACUUUAAAACAGAACUUAGUCAAUCGGACAUGUUUGAUCCAAGAUUGCAAGCAAAGGUUAUAAAGUUAGUAGAUGUCUCGUAUGGUGGAGAGAAUGGUUUUAAUCAAGCUAUUGAGUUAGCUGCUGAAUCUUUGCAAAAUGUAAAGUUUAUUCAGGAAAAAAAAUUAAUUGGCCGUUAUUUCGACGAAAUCUCACAAGAUACAGGGAAAUAUUGUUUCGGCGUAGAAGAUACAUUAAGAGCAUUAGAGUUAGGCAGUGUAGAGACUCUCAUUUGUUGGGAGAAUUUAGAUAUUCAGCGGUACGUUUUAAAGAACCAUACAAAUGCAGAAGAGAAGGUUUUACACCUAACACCAGAACAGGAAAAAGACAAAACUCAUUUUACUGACAAAGAGAGCGGAGUAGAAUUGGAACUUGUAGAAUGUCAGCCUUUACUUGAGUGGUUAGCAAACAACUACAAGAGUUUCGGCGCCACUUUGGAAAUUAUUACAGAUAAAUCUCAAGAAGGCUCUCAGUUUGUAAGAGGUUUUGGUGGCAUUGGAGGAAUCCUCCGCUACAAAGUUGAUUUCCAGUCACUGCAGGCUGAUGAGCCUCUUGAUGAUGUUGACCUCGAUGAUUACUAAUUUCAUCUGUGAAAUACUCAAAGUUGACCAGCUUGCAUAUUGGGAAAGGUAUAGUAUAUUGCGGUACAAAGUGGACUUUCAGAGUAUGCAACUUGAAGAUGUUGAGGUUGAUACCUUUGAUCUGGAUGACUAUUAAAUCCGUGACUCGACAGACAGUUCUUUUAGCUUCACAGGAAAACAUAAGUAUAUGUUCUCCCUUGCAUCAUAUUUUAAGAGAAGCACAUAAAAGGACAUGUUUAUAAAAUUUAUUAUAUGAUGCAACACACUUCAUAAAAUUAUUCAUUAGAAUUCAUUCGAGCAAUUCACAAUCAAUACACAAAGGUGAAAAGCACAACACGUGGCGCGCCGAUAAUCCAUGUCCAUGAGGAAACAAAGGCAACUCGAAGACUGUGACACUUAAUUAAGCCAGCUUGAUACCUGCCUAUCUCACAGAACAUUACCUUAUAUUACAGUUAUAUUCUUUAAUUAUUCACAUGGAUUUAUUUAAAUAAUUACACGCGUUACAGUGCUGAAUCUGUUUGUACAGUACACGGUUGGAGAUAUGAUAAUUUUGUACCAAAUUAAUGUUUUGUCAUCUUGUCAUGAAGUUUACGAUUAAAAAGUGGAAAGGGGAAAAGAUACUCAAAUAACAUGAGGACGAAUGUAGAGUUAUUUUUGUUCAGAUACAACCAUGGAUAAGCUGUAAUAAACUGAUUAUCAUAAACAUAAA
Bombus pascuorum is the source of this 2332-nucleotide RNA transcript. It is a transcript of the gene named eukaryotic peptide chain release factor subunit 1, with no coding region annotated. The record is from RefSeq and is a predicted model, not a curated record. NCBI's taxonomy places the organism in Eukaryota, Metazoa, Arthropoda, Insecta, Hymenoptera, Apidae. The transcript is spliced from 12 exons.